Non-coding RNA from Hordeum vulgare subsp. vulgare (domesticated barley), 136 nucleotides. Lineage: Eukaryota; Viridiplantae; Streptophyta; Magnoliopsida; Poales; Poaceae. The record is from Rfam.
UAAAUACUCCCUCCGUACCAAAAUUUUUGUCUUAGAUUUGUCUACAAAUGAAUAUAUCUAUUUACUAAAACGUGAUUAAAUACAUUCAUAUCUAGACAAAUCUAAGACAAGAAUUUUGAGAUGGAGGGAGUGUAAG